Molecule: long non-coding RNA, 1028 nt
Organism: Bubalus bubalis (water buffalo)
Lineage: Eukaryota; Metazoa; Chordata; Mammalia; Artiodactyla; Bovidae
Exons: 4
Source: RefSeq, a predicted model, not a curated record
GGUAGAAGCAGCCCGAAACUCCCCACGACUGCUGAAUUUGACUACCCGCCUGUCCUGGAGAGUCUCACCCACAGUUGCUGCUUAUAGUGAGGGCAGUAUUUCCCCAGAUGGGUCCACACCCCAGAGAGGUUACUAGGGGCAGGUGCAUCUUAGGGACCAGUUGUUCUCAGGAUGCGCUGUGGGAAGUCCCAGGGUCUGAAUGCAGGCUCAGUAACCCUGCCCAACCCUGACCUCGAGAAGGGUCUUCUCUCCUUGCUGACCAGGCAACCAGCCGGCUCAAGUUAUCCAUCAGGGGCCACAUCCUUUCUGCAGAAACCCUUCCCUUCCUACAAAAGCUGCAGGUCUCCGGCAUGAGCCUUCUUUAGAAGUGUCCCAGUGCUGAGAGGCUGCCCGGGUCACCUGUGCCAGGGAACACAGGUCCCAUUUCAGACAGGGCUGUUGGGAUGGUCGGACCCUGGAGGCCACUGGCCACUCUGUGGAAGGCGGACACUGAGACUUGCCAGCUUGUUGCCCGAUUUGAUUUCCUGCUGACCUGAGAUGUGCCACCCACAGGAGUGUGUGGGCAAGGCCCAGUAGUGUAACCUAGGCCCUGACUAGGUUUCUGCCUUCAGGAGAAUGAAAACCAUGAUCAGCUGUCAUUUUGAUUCCCAGAGGGAGAGAGCAUUAUUGUCCUUUAAGGAGCUCUUGCUGUGGUUUAGCACUUUUCAGAGUGACAGAGGAAUAUGGGUGAGCUCCUGUAACUAAGUUAAUUGGCCUGGACAAGCCCAUCCCACAAAGCAGCUCUGAGAAACUGCUCACUGGGCAGGGCCCACGACCCUGCACCUUCGGGCUGUCUGCCAAUAGGGGGCCUCACGUUGAGGAGUUAGGACCCAGACUCACCUGGAAACCUCCAAGCUACUCAGGGGCCCUUGAGAACUCUUUAGAUGGCUGAGUUACGCUUUGUACUUGUUGGGCCCAAGAUGCACAGGUGACCAACGUUGUCCUGUUUCCUUCUGUUCCCUUCUGUGGAUAAAAUGACAGCCUACCAA